This 249-nucleotide ribosomal RNA is filed under the name uncultured Rhodococcus sp. RNAcentral describes it as "partial 16S ribosomal RNA". It matches the Rfam family "Bacterial small subunit ribosomal RNA", at positions 355 to 616 of the family's 1533-position model. Lineage: Bacteria; Bacillati; Actinomycetota; Actinomycetes; Mycobacteriales; Nocardiaceae. The record is from RNAcentral.
UGGGGAAUAUUGCACAAUGGGCGGAAGCCUGAUGCAGCGACGCCGCGUGAGGGAUGAAGGCCUUCGGGUUGUAAACCUCUUUCAGCAGGGACGAAGCGUGAGUGACGGUACCUGCAGAAGAAGCACCGGCUAACUACGUGCCAGCAGCCGCGGUAAUACGUAGGGAGCGAGCGUUGUCCGGAAUUACUGGGCGUAAAGAGUUCGUAGGCGGUUUGUCGCGUCGUUUGUGAAAACCCGGGGCUCAACUUC